ACCUGACGCAGCGACGCCGCGUGAGGGAAGAAGGCCUUCGGGUUGUAAACCUCUUUCAGGAGGGACGAAGCCACUCGGGUGAACAGCCCAGAGGGUGACGGUACCUCCAGAAGAAGCCCCGGCUAACUACGUGCCAGCAGCCGCGGUAAUACGUAGGGGGCAAGCGUUGUCCGGAUUUACUGGGCGUAAAGAGCGUGUAGGCGGCCUCACAGGUCCGUUGUGAAAACUGAAGGCUUAACCUUCAGAGGUCGACGGAAACCGUGUGGCUAGAGUCCGGAAGAGGAGAGUGGAAUUCCUGGUGUAGCGGUGAAAUGCGCAGAUAUCAGGAAGAACACCAAUGGCGAAGGCAGCUCUCUGGGACGGUACUGACGCUGAGACGCGAAAGCGUGGGGAGCAAACAGGAUUAGAUACCCUGGUAGUCCACGCCGUAAACGAUGGGUGCUAGGUGUGGGAGGUGUCGACUCCUUCCGUGCCGCAGCUAACGCAUUAAGCACCCCGCCUGGGGAGUACGGCCGCAAGGCUA
RNAcentral lists this ribosomal RNA (523 nucleotides) under uncultured bacterium. RNAcentral describes it as "bacterial SSU rRNA". It matches the Rfam family "Bacterial small subunit ribosomal RNA", at positions 381 to 896 of the family's 1533-position model. The record is from RNAcentral. RNAcentral also lists the same sequence under 1 other name.